GGAGAGUGGAGGGUGCCUGGUGGUCCCCGCGGUCUUCAAAACCGUUGAGAGGUGGUCAAGCCAUCUCUGGUGUGUUCGAUUCGCACCCUCUCCGCCA
Molecule: transfer RNA, 97 nt
Filed under: Pedosphaera sp.
Lineage: Bacteria; Pseudomonadati; Verrucomicrobiota; Pedosphaerae; Pedosphaerales; Pedosphaeraceae
Also listed under: 2 other names
Description: tRNA-Sec
Rfam family: Selenocysteine transfer RNA
Source: RNAcentral